CCUACGGGAGGCAGCAGUCGAGAAUCAUUCACAAUGGGGGAAACCCUGAUGGUGCGACGCCGCGUGGGGGAAUGAAGGUCUUCGGAUUGUAAACCCCUGUCAUGUGGGAGCAAAUUAAAAAGAUAGUACCACAAGAGGAAGAGACGGCUAACUCAGUGCCAGCAGCCGCGGUAAGACAGAGGUCUCAAGCGUUGUUCGGAAUCACUGGGCGUAAAGCGUGCGUAGGCUGUUUCGUAAGUCGUGUGUGAAAGGCGCGGGCUCAACCCGCGGACGGCACAUGAUACUGCGAGACUAGAGUAAUGGAGGGGGAACCGGAAUUCUCGGUGUAGCAGUGAGAUGCGUAGAUAUCGAGAGGAACACUCGUGGCGAAGGCGGGUUCCUGGACAUUAACUGACGCUGAGGCACGAAGGCCAGGGGAGCGAAAGGGAUUAGAUACCCUUGUAGUC
RNAcentral lists this ribosomal RNA (446 nucleotides) under uncultured bacterium. Its description in RNAcentral is "partial 16S ribosomal RNA". It matches the Rfam family "Bacterial small subunit ribosomal RNA", at positions 338 to 795 of the family's 1533-position model. The record is from RNAcentral.